Molecule: transfer RNA, 88 nt
Filed under: Syntrophobacteraceae bacterium
Lineage: Bacteria; Pseudomonadati; Thermodesulfobacteriota; Syntrophobacteria; Syntrophobacterales; Syntrophobacteraceae
Description: tRNA-Leu
Rfam family: tRNA
About the family: Transfer RNA (tRNA) molecules are approximately 80 nucleotides in length. Their secondary structure includes four short double-helical elements and three loops (D, anti-codon, and T loops).
Source: RNAcentral
GCCGAUGUGGUGAAACUGGUAGUCACGCAUGGCUCAAACCCAUGUGCCCGAAAGGGCGUUGGGGGUUCGACUCCCCCCGUCGGUACAA